Molecule: long non-coding RNA, 2168 nt
Organism: Anolis carolinensis (green anole)
Lineage: Eukaryota; Metazoa; Chordata; Lepidosauria; Squamata; Anolidae
Source: Ensembl
AUGGCUAAGCAAGACCUUUCCUUCAAUGAAGAGGAACACCUUUCCUUCAAUGAAGAGGAACUCCUCCUUCAACAGGCUAAAGCCAAGCAGAAACUGCUUCUAGCGCAGGCUAGGGCCCAACAAGAAGCUGACCUAGCGCAGGCUAGGACCCAACAAGAAGCUGACCUAGCGCAGGCUAGGGCCCAACAAGAAGCUGACCUAGCACAGGCCAGGGCCCAGAGAGAAAUAGAGCUUGCAAUGGCUGAAGCCAAGCAAGAUGAGCUGCAACGGGAUCUAGAUCUGCUUCAAGUAAAAAGAGACACAGCACAAAAGAUAGUCAGAGCUAACAUUCUAGCCAAAGCCCUAUCACAGGAACUAACACAAGAAAACCUUAGUUUCCUGCCAACACAAGAGCCUACAGCAAAGGUUUCAGCACAUCUGCAACUGGAAUCACCUGUAGUGCAGAGUCAUAUCUCCUUUCGCCACCUUGAAGAUCGCUCGCCUGUUCCAGUGUUCGCAACUUCAAGGCCAGCCCAUUCCUCAGAAGUACAGCAAAGCACGGCCGGGAGAGUGCCAUCUCUGUGGGAACGAAAGGAUGACAUCUUUCAACAACAUCCAGAUGUCCAUCCACAUUGGCAAGGCAUGGCCGGGAGUGAACCACCACAUUCAUCCCUGCAUACCAAGUCAAUUCUCCCAUCGCUGAAGAUAAAGGCUUCAGAGGUCCUGCCUGCCAGCAAUCUGCUGAACCCAGCAUCGCCUACCAUCGCGACAAGAUGUGUUCAACCGAAGAACAUUGAGUUUGUCACGCCACAUCACACUACUCAGAUGUACCCUUACACACUGGAGUCUCAAUUGGGUUCCCUCUUGAGAAAUCCAAGAAGAGACAUCAGAGACAAAGGCGUCCAGAAAUUCACUGACCGACCGGAUGACUACCUUCUGUGGAAAAUCACCUUCAUGAGGGCCAUUCGAGAUUUCAAGCUAGAAGCGGAUGAAGAACUGUCCCUUCUUAUGGCGUGGCUUGGACCCAGCUCAGCUGAGCAAGUAAAAAGACUUUAUGCUGCUCAUGUAGCAGACCCCCAAAGAGCAUUGUCCACAGCGUGGUCUCGCUUGGAUCAGCGCUUCGGUGCAAGCACUGAGAUAGAAGCAUCCCACAGAAAAAGCCCACACAGUUCCUCCCGCCGUCUAUGCCCAGUGUCCUUGGUAACUUACGUAUCCAGCAAACGAAUCACACCCGUCUUCAGGAAGUUCCCCAACAAGAUCCCAAGCGUUCGUCCAGAUUACCUUGCCCAACGCAAUUAACCAUUGAUUCUAGACUCCAUUUUAUGCCAGUUCAUAACUCCUCAUCGCUGUCAGCUGCUAUCCUAAUUCCAGGUGCUUCCUCAUCAUCAUCCUCAUCAGAACUAGAACACCUUUGACUACGCCCCACAGCAUCCCCAGCUGUGGAUCCCGUUCCAUCCCUCCAGCCCGUCCACGGGUCCGAUCCUGCAACCCGCCAGUCGCCUCCCAUGCUAUCAUUGCCAGUGACACCCAAAUCCUCCCUCACACGAGUCCAUUCCAUAUCAUCCUCCUCUGAGCUAACCAUCUCUUCCUCCAUUCCCUCGGUAAAACCCUCAAAGGAGUCUUCGUCUGUUGGUUCUGCAAAUAAGUCUCGGAGCCGUUUCCUUUCGCGCUCCUCAAAAGAGUCUGACUCUCGAGGAGUCUUACGACCUCGUCUCCUAGUAUCAGAGCCAGAAGGCUCAACCAUAACAGAUAUGUUCCAAGAUCUUCUUGGAUACCUGAAACCAUGGAUAAUAGCAAAUUCUAUAUUUUGACUAUACAGCUGGGAGUUUGCUCUCUGUGUGACCUAAUUUCAUAUUUUCUUAACUAACUGGCCAGAUAGUUCACACCCAGGCAUUAAACUUAUAUUGUCCUUAAUUGGAAGUAAAUGUCCUGCUAUACUAUGUCAGUUCCAUCACUCCCCCUACCUGACUUUCCUAAGUGACAUUUUCUAAUUGCCACUUACAGAGGAUCACUCCCUACAGACAGCAAACCAGGAGAGGUUUGCAUCCUUCCUGCAUAUGCACAUUAUGGCUUCUUUUUGUGUAUUCUGCUAGAUUCAACACUUCUGAUCAUAGAACACAGACAAAGGAAGAUUCCUGUCUGCUUCAUACAUUUUUUUAAAGGCUAGGAACUGGAAGACAAUUUUCCCC